This 415-nucleotide ribosomal RNA is filed under the name uncultured bacterium. RNAcentral's name for it is "bacterial SSU rRNA". It matches the Rfam family "Bacterial small subunit ribosomal RNA", at positions 29 to 433 of the family's 1533-position model. The record is from RNAcentral.
AAUCAACGCUGGCGGCGUGCCUAACACAUGCAAGUCGAACGCGGUCACCCCGCAAGGGGUGACUGAGUGGCGAACGGGUGAGUAACACGUGGGUGACCUGCCUUCGAGUGGGGGAUAACAUCCCGAAAGGGGUGCUAAUACCGCAUGACAUCCUGCCUUUAAAGAGGUGGAGAUUAAAGCUGGGGAUCGUAAGACCUGGCGCUUGAAGAGGGGCCCGCGUCCGAUUAGCUAGUUGGUGGGGAACGGCCUACCAAGGCGACGAUCGGUAGCCGGCCUGAGAGGGCGACGGCCACACUGGGACUGAGACACGGCCCAGACUCCUACGGGAGGCAGCAGUGGGGAAUUGUUCGCAAUGGGACGAAAGCCUGACGACGCAACGCCGCGUGGAGGACGAAGAUUUCGGAUCGUAAACUCC